GGAAGUGAUAGAGUAUAUCAGUCAAAGAAAGAACCAAAAGGCAGAGGGAAAGAGUGUGAGAGAACUACUAUGCUCUGUCCCACUCCCUGAAUGUCUUCCCCUUCUCUACAGCCCAGAGAGAGAGAGAGAGAGCAAGAGCAAGAGAGACUACCUUUCCUUACUCUGGACUCUACUGCUCCACCAUGGCACCUGUCACAGACAGAGAGACACGGACCUAGGAGCGCUACAGUACCAGGAACACACAGAGUACAAAGAGCUGAAGUAAAGGGAGCGUUCGCCCGCCUCGGGGGCUUAGAGAGGGGAUUUGGCUGUUCUGCCGGGUGCCUGCCUGAUAACGAGACAGCCAGGCCUGCUGAUACGCUGCUGAGUGCGUGCAGUAAAGCACCCCUUACCUGUCACUCCUCACCUGUCACACUCUGGUGCCACCGGCCAAGAUGGCACACACACACACACAGGGCCAACCAUAGAGCUGCAGGAGUGUUUGUGUGUGCAACUGCAGCAUUUUUACAGUUUGGUGUGUGACAACUCACAGUAAACCUCUCAGUCAACGUAGAGAGGAAAUGAAUCCAGGCUCUUGCGGCCUGGUAUUUCAGUGAGCAUCACACUAUGCAGUUAAAUAUUUUCCACUCACUAUACUCACACCUCUCUGUCAGGCUAGUUUAGGAUAAGAAAAGCCCAUUCACCCUCAUUCAGACCACAGGAUGGAUAUAUUGUAUAAAGCAUGUUAUUCCCCCCAGUCCUCUCCCAUCUCCUUCUCUUCCUGUUGUGGCAGUGCCAGUUAAAGUUACAGCUGUUGGGAUUCAAGAUUCAUAUUCAAGUCAACGCCCUUAGCUGCACCUAGCCAUCAAAACAGAACAAAGUCCAUGAAGAGAGAGGAAUGGAGGGGAGAAGAUAAGGGGAAAGAGAAGGGGAGGGUGAUGUAGGAACAAGAGAGGAGGAUAAAGAUGGAAAGGGAGAGGGAGAGAAGAGCUGAGACUAUGAGAAGAGAACACAGCAGGUUAGCGGAGGGGGAAUAGAAUAAAUGAAAAGGGGAGUAGAGAAGAG
RNAcentral lists this long non-coding RNA (1044 nucleotides) under Salmo salar (Atlantic salmon). RNAcentral's name for it is "lncRNA (ENSSSAG00000098636.1)". Lineage: Eukaryota; Metazoa; Chordata; Actinopteri; Salmoniformes; Salmonidae. The record is from RNAcentral.